Long non-coding RNA from Felis catus (domestic cat), 2928 nucleotides. RefSeq lists it as uncharacterized. NCBI's taxonomy places the organism in Eukaryota, Metazoa, Chordata, Mammalia, Carnivora, Felidae. The record is from RefSeq and is a predicted model, not a curated record. The transcript is spliced from 3 exons.
CCUGGAGUUCCCUCAUCAGGGGAACCUGAUGCAAGGACGUGUGUGCAGGCAGUUUAUUUUAGAGGUGAUCCCAGGGAGCAGAAACAGAGGACCGACACAACUGAAAAAAGCCAACAUCACAGAGCAUCUUUAGGUCAGUGCCGCGGGUGACUGGGACUCAGUGCCUCCAGGCCCCUCUGAACGGUGUACAGAAGGAUCCCUGGGCUUGUCAGCCAGAUGACAGAUUGACGGAAGCAUCCCUCCACUGGCUCCCACGCCCCACGGGUGAGAGGUUGUUGGCCCAGUGGAAGCUAACUGCCCCCAGCACGUCCCCAUGCUGAGCGUGCUCCUGCCGGCAGUCCGUGUUGGGCACUGCACAAGCCCCAGGGCAGAAAAAGAAAAAGGCCUUGUGCUCGCGUGAGGCAAGAUGCCGGCAGCGCAAAGUGAGUUGAAGCCCGCGUAGAACUGUUUGGCCCAGCACGGCUGGAAACAGAGGUGCCGCUGAGCGCCAGGGAGGCUGUGGGUACGCUCUUGAGCCAGACUGGCUUCUAAUCCUUUCCCUGUGUGUCAUUUUCCUCCACUUACAAAAGGGAGGGUUCUAAGAGGAAAACACGCUUUACCGGGUCGUCACGAGGCAAAUGAGAAAGCCCACAGCGCCUGGCACAUAAUAAUCCCUCAAUGAAGAGUGACUUCUAUUAUCCCCAUUUUAUGGUUGAAGACACUGAGAUGUGAUUUUGAAGGGAUGAGAGAGGGGAACAAGUGGGGGAGGGAGACUUCAUUUAGGCUCCACUCACACCUCCAGAGAAGGCUUGGUCGGCAGCUCAGAGAAAAACCUGGUAUUUCUGGGGAGAGACCCUCUCCCGCUUCGCCCUUCUACGCCCACUUCCCCUACCACGUGAGGGGCCUCAGGAGCGUUUUCUGCCCCUAAAUGAGUAGUCACGCUUCCUCUGUCGCGGGGAAAGGGUCUGGAGGUGCCUUGUGAUGUCACAGCUGGUUGCUAUGGCGAUCAGGUUGCUGUAAAUGUCAGUCUGGGUCCACCAGGAGCACAGUGAUCAGCAUCCCAGCCUGGCGCAGGGAGAGAGGAAAAUGAGGCACCCUGGGGGCUCUCCUAAGUGCCUCUCCCCGCGCCCCAAACACGCGGACGCACACAGCGCAGCCAGCAGGCCCCGCGAACGUCCCCUGGCCCGCCCCGCGCGUGGCAAUAUGUGUCUGGGGAGACACAACCCUGGCAGCCGAGAGCAGGGUGACACAUGGUCCGCCUCAGUCACUGUCCCCUCCCACUCCUUCUGGAAGAAAGGUGCUGCUCAGCAGGUGGCAGUGGCAUCCGGGGCGUCCCCAUGGCAACGCUGACUGAGGUCAGGCCUCAUCGCCGCGCUGACCUCACUCCGGGGGCCACUGGACCCGGGCUGGGCUGUCGCUGCCACGGGGGGGGGAAUUGGAAAAGCUGGGAAGAGGCUUUCCAGAAAAACGAAUCUGCCCUCUCAGGGUCAUGGCGUCUCCCGACAAGGAACUUGACCUUUCCGGACUCUGUGUUCACCGCCAUUGCUCGGAAUGAGAGGCAUCAGACAGAGAUUCUGGAAGCUGCUUUGCCCCACUUAGGCAGGAACGUGUCAACACCAGCACACGGAGGCCCGGGAGCCGGAGAGGCCUUUGCAGGACCCCUCGGGGAACUUCUUGCCCCCCCCCCCAGCAUGGACUGCCACGUCAGACUGCUCUCUGGGGAGAAGAGGGGUCCCAGGGGCUGGCGGGCUCCUCAGGUGCCGGGCCCCCCAAUCUCAGCUGUGGGAAGGGAGACGAGUCGGGGAAGGAUCGCACACCCAUGCAGCCUCGGCCUCGGCUCCCUCCUGAGUCACCGCCAAUUAGCUGAGGCAGGUGGGGAGCGAGGCGGGUGAAGGAGGGGCCCUUAGGUGCGGAGAGAAGAGGUUGGAAGGGGUGCGUUUGCAGGGAGAGCUGGAGGCAUGAACGGGCCCCCAGAGGUGGAGGGGACACACAGGGCCCGUGUUCUGUGCAGUCAACCCCAUCCAACCGACCUGAGCACAGCAGCCAGCCUGCAGGGCCUGCGCCUGAAGCCAGAGGGCCGCGGGGGGUGCGUGGAGGUGACCUUCCUCACUACAGGGGCCAGGGAGCUCCGAUAACAGGACGGCCACCGUUUACUGAGCACUAACAACACGCCAGGCGCGGGCCAAGCCCUUCACUCAGUGGUAACAGCACUUACUUUGUGCAGGACUGCUACCCGUUCUCCCUCACACAGUUCUUACUAAGCAGACGAGGAAAAGGGGGCCCGGAGAGGUUGACUAGUCCCAGGUCACCCAGGAAUGGGACUCCAGAGCCCGUGCUCCGGAACCUUCACGGCAGCUCUGGGGAUAGAGUCGUUCUUCACUCAGAGACACUGAGCAGGAAGGAGCCCCCACUGUGCCCAAUUCUGUCCUAGCCAAGUUCCCGUCUGUUGUUUGUCUCAUCCUGGCCGCGGGGUUAUUAUCCCCGUCUCACAGGGGAGGAAACAAGGGGAGAGGGGGUAAGUCAGGAUUCGCCAGGAUUUUUGACUCAAGAAUCAACGUGAAGCCGGUGUGAUUUUCCACAAUGGGUGGCCUCAGGGAGCCGUGGCUCUGACAUCCACAUUGGAGAGCCCAGACCUCCCCAUACCCCACUAUUCCAUUGUGGGGACCUAGGCUGGGGCCGGAAGUGUGAGAUGGGCAGCGGCCCAGGAGGAUUAUCUCUGACAGAGCCCAGCUCCUUGCCCCAAUCACGUCCUGCCCCCCGGAAUUAUAGAUGAUUAUCCCCAAGGGGUAGAGGAGGAGGCGCCCAGGGGACGUCCAGGAGGUGGUAGAAUGCAGGGAUUAAAAGCACUGUCUCAGGGGCGCCUGGGUGGCUCAGUCGGUUAAGCGGCCGACUUCGGCUUAGGUCACGAUCUCACACUCCGUGAGUUCGAGCCCUGCGUCGGGCUCUGUG